AUAACAACUCUCGGCAACGGAUAUCUCGG
RNAcentral lists this ribosomal RNA (29 nucleotides) under Melaleuca quinquenervia. Its description in RNAcentral is "partial 5.8S ribosomal RNA". Lineage: Eukaryota; Viridiplantae; Streptophyta; Magnoliopsida; Myrtales; Myrtaceae. The record is from RNAcentral.